Molecule: ribosomal RNA, 526 nt
Filed under: uncultured bacterium
Lineage: Bacteria
Description: bacterial SSU rRNA
Rfam family: Bacterial small subunit ribosomal RNA
Source: RNAcentral
ACAUCCAGAGAAUUUAGCAGAGAUGCUUUAGUGCCUUCGGGAACUCUGAGACAGGUGCUGCAUGGCUGUCGUCAGCUCGUGUUGUGAAAUGUUGGGUUAAGUCCCGCAACGAGCGCAACCCUUAUCCUUUGUUGCCAGCACGUAAUGGUGGGAACUCAAAGGAGACUGCCGGUGAUAAACCGGAGGAGGGUGGGGAUGACGUCAAGUCAUCAUGGCCCUUACGAGUAGGGCUACACACGUGCUACAAUGGCGCAUACAAAGAGAAGCGACCUCGCGAGAGCAAGCGGACCUCAUAAAGUGCGUCGUAGUUCGGAUUGGAGUCUGCAACUCGACUCCAUGAAGUCGGAAUCGCUAGUAAUCGUAAAUCAGAAUGUUACGGUGAAUACGUUCCCGGGCCUUGUACACACCGCCCGUCACACCAUGGGAGUGGGUUGCAAAAGAAGUAGAUAGCUUAACCUUCGGGAGGGCGUUUACCACUUUGUGAUUCAUGACUGGGGUGAAGUCGUAACAAGGUAAGCGUAGUGCU